Molecule: long non-coding RNA, 2015 nt
Organism: Pseudopipra pipra
Lineage: Eukaryota; Metazoa; Chordata; Aves; Passeriformes; Pipridae
Exons: 3
Source: RefSeq, a predicted model, not a curated record
UGGGCUGGGUGUGAAAUGGGAGCCCGGCUCUGCCCCCAGCCUCUGCCACUGCCCCUUUGCUGGGCGGGGCUGGGGCAGGGGCAGCCAGCCUGCCAAAAACAAACCCCCGUGGGGGGAGCAAAGGUAGGGCUGCAGAACACCAGCUGCUUUGGGCUGCAGGCCAGGAAAGGCUUGGGCUGCCUUGGCUUAGGAGCCUUUCUUUGGGCCAGUGCAGCAGGGCAGGGAGAAGGCCUGGGUUUUCCUUAGCUGGAGGAGGUGGGGUUUUUCUUUGGCCUGGAGGGGUUGGGCCUUCCUCAGAACCCUGACACAAUGUUAACAUUUUACCUUUUUGUCUUGUUUCCACUUUUUGUUUGUAAUCUCUUGUCAUGAAUUUGUUGUUUGUUUUUGAGGGAAGAGUUGGAGCUGGUGCCCAGUCUGGAUUGGGAAGGGCUGGGAUCAUCCCUGGAGAGGAUCUGACGUCCCCUCUGAGAAGGCUGAGGACAUCCUUUGGGACACGCUCUUCUUCUGGCAGCAGAUCUUGUGAGACAGGACACCUCUGCCUGAUCUCCCUCAGAUCUGAGGGAUCUCUGGAUCUUCACGCCAGCACCAGGACUUUGCUGGAGAAGAGCACAGAUCCCCAGCCCAGUCUGGGACACAGAACCCUCUGAAAUGGCAGAAGGAUUGUGGUGUGAAUGCAGCGCCCUCAGAGCCCUUGGUGUGAGCCCGGAAAGGAAAAUCAAGGGAAAUGGUUAAAGCCUUGUUGUUCAAUGUGGAGCACAGGAGAACUUUGUUCUCAUCGUCUCCCCGAUAAGGAGGAGGACUCAGAUCUUCUGGUUGGCCCCACGGGCAGGUUGAGUGGGGGAACAGAAAAUCAAGAUGCAGAAACCAAUCUUGCAGGGGAACUGGCAUGUGAAGAGGCAGAUUUAGCAUGUCCAGAAGAAAAGGGAGAGAGAAUGUGUCAGAGAGAGAGCAGAGAGCUUCAGUGCAGCUGCAGGAAGAACUAGAGCUGAACAAGGAGGGGUGGGAGUGGCCCCCCUGUGUGAUAGAACCCAGACUAAAUGGCAAAAGCCUUCAAAAUGAUGAUUCAAACCCAGGAUCCAGGCUAGAAGGAUCCUUUGUUAGAAGUGUUGUUUGGUAGUAGGGAGAAAGCAAUGGUUGUUAAAACUAGUCAGAGGUUUUUGGAAGAGCAGAUUUUGGUGGGGAAUAUCCAGAGUACAUUGGACAUUCCCUUUCCCACUGCAGAUCCUGAAUGGGAUCCUAACAUCCCUAUUUUUAGAGAAAGGUUCAAUAGAUACCUGCAGUGGAUGUUGUCUGGAAUGAAACAUGCCAGGCCAAAGGCAAUGAACACGUCAAAAUUCUCUGCAAUGAAGCAGGAUCACAGGGAAUAGCCUACUGAAUUUUUAAAUCAUCUGGAAGAAACAGCACAAAAAUAUACUAAUAUCCAUCCUGAAACACAGGGGGGAAGGACUCAACUGGCCCCCAUAUUUGUGGGGCAGUCCUCAGAUGUGGUUAGGAGGGAAUGACAAAAAGCUGAGGGACAAGAUCAAUCUAAUUUGGGGACAUUGUUGGAGGUUGGGAGAAUCAGCAGGAAUCAGCUAAGCAGGAAGGAGUUGCAGUUCUGGAGGAAAUCCCUGAGGAAAUGGUGCCCCCGGGGAGAGGAAGAGGAUGAGAGCAUGGGCAGCCUGCUUCAAACAUCCCCCCCAGGAGACUUGGGAUCAAUCCCUGUGCAUCCUGUAAGAAAGAUGGACACUGGAAAUGGGAUUGUCCGCAACUGAAACUUCAGAACCCUCCGAACCCUCUCGUGGCAUCACUGAAGACGACUGAGGGGGCACCAGAGGAUUCUUCCCCAUCAGAACAUCUGGUUCCAGCCAAGCUAAGUACAAUUGGUUGUGGCUGUGGGAACUUGUUCCUGUGUGUUAAAUAAGGGAAAAUGAAACUCAAGUCACAAUUCUGGAACAAUUGUCUGGUGUGCCAGGGAAUUGGGAAACUGGGCCAUUUUUAAUGCUGUGGAUUUGAGAUUGGGAAAACAGUGGUUG